AGCUUUAUAGUCAAUAUAAUGAUAUUAGAUUGCAAAUCUUAAGUAGUAUAAUAUAUACUAAAGCUU
RNAcentral lists this transfer RNA (66 nucleotides) under Piesma cf. maculatum. RNAcentral's name for it is "tRNA-Cys". The record is from RNAcentral. Lineage: Eukaryota; Metazoa; Arthropoda; Insecta; Hemiptera; Piesmatidae.